UUCGGCUUGUGGCCGACAGUUUCUUUAGAGUGCCGCCUUGCGGCCUGGCAACUAAAGAUAAGGGUUGCGCUCGUUGCGGGACUUAACCCAAUAUCUCACGACACGAGCUGACGACAGCCAUGCAGCACCUAUACAGCGGCCCUUGCGGGCACCAGACUUUCAUCCGGCUUCCACUGCACUUCGAGCCCAGGUAAGGUUCUUCGCGUUGCAUCGAAUUAAUCCGCAUGCUCCGCCGCUUGUGCGGGCCCCCGUCAAUUCCUUUGAGUUUUAGCCUUGCGGCCGUACUCCCCAGGCGGGGCGCUUAAUGCGUUAGCUGCGGCACGGAACCCGUGGAAUGGACCCCACACCUAGCGCCCAACGUUUACGGUGUGGACUAC
This 377-nucleotide unclassified non-coding RNA is filed under the name uncultured bacterium. Its description in RNAcentral is "contains 16S-23S intergenic spacer region". The record is from RNAcentral.